GCAAGUCGAGGGGUAGAGAAGGAAUAGUUUACUAGGAAUUCUCGAGACCGGCGCACGGGUGCGUAACACGUAUGCAACUUACCCUUUACUGGGGCAUAGCUCAGAGAAAUCUGAAUUAAUUCUCCAUAAUAAUAUUGAAUUGCAUGAUUUGAUAUUUAAAGCUCAGGCGGUAAAGGAUAGGCAUGCGCUGUAUUAGCUAGUUGGUGAGGUAAUGGCUCACCAAGGCUACGAUACAUAAAGGUUCUGAGAGGAUGAUC
This 257-nucleotide ribosomal RNA is filed under the name uncultured bacterium. RNAcentral describes it as "partial 16S ribosomal RNA". It matches the Rfam family "Bacterial small subunit ribosomal RNA", at positions 57 to 305 of the family's 1533-position model. The record is from RNAcentral.